CUACAACAAAAGUGGGAGACAGACACCAACGUGAUUGACAGAUAGUGGUGAUAUCUUCCAAAAUUCUGGGUCCUGGUGUAGUGGCCUUCGGAGCAUUUGGUUUGGUUUUAUGGCCACUUUCCUUUCUAUAAAGUGACUACUGGAACUGAUGGGUGGAAACUUCAGUGUGAGUACAUAUGAGCGUCCAAAUUAUCCUUAGCACAUCAUUGGUUACACUAGUUUACUAUAUACCAAAGAUGAGUUAGUGUUCACUCAGGCCCGAAAUGGAAUGACGGUUUUGCCCUUCCUACUUGCCCCAACUACAAUUUUGCCAUAGUUUUACGGAUGAGGGCCAUCGGGAGAGAGAUACAAGUCAUACAACACUGACCAUCUCAAAGACGAAACAUUCGAGAGCGGUAGAGGGAUUUAAACGAUUUCUUCUUCUCAUGAUUAGACUGGAGAUUUGGGCAAAUCCAGGUUUGUUAAUCGGUCUGUGUUGGGCGAAGAGGCUCUUUUUGUAUCUGUUCUUUCGAUUUGAUACUCCAAUAGCAUCUGCAGCAUUUAAAAGUCUAGGUAGCUAUUGUAAGAUUUGAACAAUGCGAUGGUGUUUUUAUUCUGAGAGUGGUGAUCUCAACAAUGCGAUAUAAUUAUAAGAGCCGGGGUUUGUCCAGAGUAUCAAGGUCAGCCGCCAAGAUUAAUACCAAAACAAUUUCUAUUUGUUUUAGAAUUGAACUAUCUGUUUGUAUGAAAUCAAUUCAUUUUAUGAUUUAUCCUUUUUUGUUUGAAAUAUGUGAAUUCGGAAUCUGAUUAUGAACAUGGAUACUAUUUUGGUUAAGCUUUAAAAUGCUUCGUCGUUCUUAAUUUUAUUUGAUCGGGAGAGAGAUACAACAACUCUGAGACAAAAACUCUAAGAGCGACAGUGAUCGAGAGGGAGAGAGCAACUCUGAGGGCGAAAAAAUAAUAGAGGUUUGGGUUUGUUUUGGAAGAGGUCAUGUUUCAGUUGAUCGAGAGGGAGAGACAGAAACAUUGAGAGCGAAGUAGAGAUCCAUAGCAAGAUUUGGAUCAGGUUUGGGAGGGAUCUUUCACCAAAAGAAGAGCUGUGGCUUGCUUUUGAUUUUUGUGGAUGCGUGGCCUUCAUCUCUGUUCGACUGAAGCCCCUCAGUUCGAUUCAGAGUUUUCAUGCAGAUCAAGAAGAAAGAGAUCCAACAUUUCAGAACAAACCCAUCUUUUCGAACGAAGUUUACGAAAGAGUUGACCAGAGGCAACUGGACAAAGACAGAAGAUGUAUGGCUGCUGAGAUUUCAGUUCCUUUCAUCUCAUUGUUAUAACUAUUCAAGGUUCUGAUCCUCUCAGGGUGGAUGCCCGGGCAUAUCGAUGGAUUCUGACAGCAAAGAAAAUGCAAGACCAGAUGUUUCAAUUAUUGAAUAUAAUGGUUUUUAAAUAGGAUGAUAAUGAGUAUUCCCUUUCAAUAAUUUGGAGUAGAGACAUACAGUAGAAACGUACAGUGUUGAAAAGGGAUUCACCCUCGGAUUAAACUUUUGCUCUGAAUCCCUGUGUAUAAAACCGACAUCUCCAGCUGCUUUCCAAUUCGAGAAGCCUCCAUCAAAGUCACCAUCUACUGUUACGCAAUAUCAGGCUUAUCCAUCACAAUCAACAUCACCGAAGACUGGGUUCUCUACCUAUGAUCUAUCUGAGCGGCAAAUUGAGGUUUAGGGUUAACAUGCUGCAGUUUCAAGCAAUAGCUGAUCAGUUUUUCGCAAUCCAGAUUACCAUAAGCAUGUUAGAAAGCAGAAAUUAGUGAUCAAGACAAGGAGCAUCAAGUUCAUGCCAUUCUAUCUUUCUCUUGCAACCUUCUUGAUGAGUCUCCUCUUUCUCUGCAUACGGACUUUUCAGAGAAGAUCCAUUCAUAUGUGUGUGUGUGUGUGCACACACUAACGUGCAAAUUUCAGCAGUUAAAUUAUCGCCUUAGGCAACAAACACAUCUCACUUUUUUUUAUUUCUUGGCAACAGUUUACAUUUCAAUUGGAAAAAUAAAUAUACAUUUACAGUUCAUCAUACCUCUUCUGAUAACAUAUCUGAUUCACAUUUUCUACAAGUCUAAUUCUCUGGUUGAUUAUCCAGGUUUGACGAAUCUGUGAAUGUCAAGCAGCUUCAAAGCAUAUUGUGAUCCAUUUCAACUUUCAUUAUUAGAUACCCUAUCCCCAGCAAAGCGCAGGCACACUUUCUAGUUAGAACCAAACAUAAGAAGGAAACUGCAGACCAUUUCAAUGAGCAUGGUCUAUUAACUUGGCUAGGAUAUGGAUGAAAUUUACUAUAUACUAAAGGAGAGAUACUGUUCACAAGGGCUUGAAAUGGAGUGACGGUUUUGCCCCUGGAUUUUUCUCACAAUUUUGGGUUGCCAUAGAAUGUCUAGAAACCCGUCAAGCGGAGAAUCGUAAACCCACCCGCCUACUUGCUCUGUUUUUAGCCUCUACUGACCCUUCCAGAGGUUCCAUGACUUCCAGACGUUUACUAAGUCAAAUUUAUAGCUAAGAGAAAAGCGAUCCAGAGGGAGAUAGAGAGAUCGGCUGUGAUAAAAAGAUAGAGAGAUCGGGUGUGUGUUGUUUGCUUUGUACAAAGAGAUAGAGAGAGAUUCAGGAAACGGGAUUCCCACCUCAUCAUCUCAACGGUUAGUUCUUUCUGAGCUGAUUUGCCUUUUAAUUUCUGAGCUAUUAGUAUGGGUCUUCGGUUUGAUCUGUUGAAUAUUUGAGCUUUCUAUUCUGAUGUUGUUUACAAUUUGUAAUUUGUAGCGGUACGAAUUUCAAUUUUUGAAAGUUAUUUCAGUUUAUAAAGAAUGAACUUUAUUGGUUCUUGGAAUUAUGUAGAGAUUGAUUAUCCUCUUUGUUGGAGCAGAUCUUACCAUGUAUAUUAAGUUAACUUGGGUUUGGACUACUAUGCUGAAAUGAGUACUUGGGACUUUAAGUUU
Long non-coding RNA from Rosa chinensis, 2944 nucleotides. RefSeq lists it as uncharacterized. The record is from RefSeq and is a predicted model, not a curated record. NCBI's taxonomy places the organism in Eukaryota, Viridiplantae, Streptophyta, Magnoliopsida, Rosales, Rosaceae. The transcript has 8 exons.